AGGUAGAGGCGCUGUACUUAUUAGUACUUGAGGAUGGCUGGCAAGUAAUGAUUCUCAAGGAAAGGAAUUAUAGCCGAAGAAAAUUCAUAGGCAUAUGGGUUUUCUGGACUUAUGUUUAAUAGGCAUAAGGCUGUCACUUUUCAAAGUGUUGAGCUACAA
RNAcentral lists this non-coding RNA (159 nucleotides) under uncultured Terrisporobacter sp. RNAcentral describes it as "Lysine riboswitch". It matches the Rfam family "Lysine riboswitch aptamer". Rfam says of the family: Riboswitches are metabolite binding domains within certain messenger RNAs that serve as precision sensors for their corresponding targets. Allosteric rearrangement of mRNA structure is mediated by ligand binding, and this results in modulation of gene expression. The record is from RNAcentral. Lineage: Bacteria; Bacillati; Bacillota; Clostridia; Peptostreptococcales; Peptostreptococcaceae.